UCCUGGCUCAGGAUGAACGCUAGCGGCAGGCUUAACACAUGCAAGUCGUGGGGCAGCGCGGACUUCGGUCUGGCGGCGACCGCAAACGGGUGCGGAACACGUACGCAACCUCCCUCAGAGCGGGGAAUAGCCUCUCGAAAGAGAGAUUAAUACCCCAUAGUAUCUUGAAGACACAUGUCUAUGAGAUUAAAGCUUCGGCACUUUGAGAUGGGCGUGCGGCUGAUUAGGUAGUUGGUAGGGUAACGGCCUACCAAGCCGACGAUCAGUAGCUGAUGUGAGAGCAUGAUCAGCCACACGGGCACUGAGACACGGGCCCGACUCCUACGGGAGGCAGCAGUGAGGAAUAUUGGUCAAUGGAGGAAACUCUGAACCAGCCAUGCCGCGUGGAGGAUGAAGGUCCUCUGGAUUGUAAACUCCUUUUAUAAAAGAAGAAACCCCAUUUUUCUAAAUGGGUUGACGGUACUUUAUGAAUAAGCACCGGCUAACUCCGUG
Molecule: ribosomal RNA, 492 nt
Filed under: uncultured bacterium
Lineage: Bacteria
Description: bacterial SSU rRNA
Rfam family: Bacterial small subunit ribosomal RNA
Source: RNAcentral